RNAcentral lists this unclassified non-coding RNA (464 nucleotides) under Hevea brasiliensis (rubber tree). Lineage: Eukaryota; Viridiplantae; Streptophyta; Magnoliopsida; Malpighiales; Euphorbiaceae. The record is from RNAcentral.
AAAGCAGCAUGAUGGGAAAAGGUUUUAAACAGUAAUUGUUUAGACAUCUAUUUUUCACACCUCAUCAUAUAUGAUAUGCACUACAAAAGGCCCCUGAAAAGAAGACUAUGGAAUUGUCAAGGAAAAUUAAACUGCAAAGGUAGCCGGGACAAUAUGGAACAAACCUAAUUAUAUUUCAGUUUAACAAUGAGAUAUUUAAUUUGAGGUCACUAGUUUAUAAAAUAUUUUCAAAGACAAAUGGGAAAAGAAAAUCCCAUUAAGAAGCAGAACUGUUACAUGUUCAAGUAGUGUGCAAAUGCAAAGAUACUAUACAUCUAAAGCCUUAAUGAUAGGACAUUCAAGUAAGUAUAUAGAUGACAUGAUCAGGAACGGAAAGACUAUCCACAAUCCAUGAUAAGGAUGAAGGGUAUAAAAGUACAAAAAAAUGAAUAAUAAAUUUGAAGUACACUAUCUUCAGAAGAUGA